CUCUCUAGUGACCGAUAGUGAACCAGUACCGUGAGGGAAAGGUGAAAAGCACCCCGGAAGGGGAGUGAAAUAGAACCUGAAACCGUGUGCUUACAAGUAGUCAGAGCCCGUUAAUGGGUGAUGGCGUGCCUUUUGUAGAAUGAACCGGCGAGUUACGAUUUGAUGCAAGGUUAAGCAGUAAAUGUGGAGCCGUAGCGAAAGCGAGUCUGAAUAGGGCGUUUAGUAUUUGGUCGUAGACCCGAAACCAGGUGAUCUACCCUUGGUCAGGUUGAAGUUCAGGUAACACUGAAUGGAGGACCGAACGAACUUACGUU
Molecule: ribosomal RNA, 314 nt
Filed under: Staphylococcus aureus
Lineage: Bacteria; Bacillati; Bacillota; Bacilli; Caryophanales; Staphylococcaceae
Description: partial 23S ribosomal RNA
Rfam family: Bacterial large subunit ribosomal RNA
Source: RNAcentral